RNAcentral lists this long non-coding RNA (1055 nucleotides) under Equus caballus (horse). Its description in RNAcentral is "lncRNA (ENSECAG00000050008.1)". The record is from RNAcentral. Lineage: Eukaryota; Metazoa; Chordata; Mammalia; Perissodactyla; Equidae.
CAUCUGGUCCCAAAGCUGCCAGAGCCUUGAGUUCAUCGGAAUCCGAAUCCCCACCAAGCGACCCACUGGGGCCUCAGCUUGUCAGUUUAGGGUUAUCCUGUAAUUAGAGAUAAGGAAAGUGGUCCCCGAGGCUGGGGGACAUGGCACAGGCCACCCACAGGUGAGGGGCAGGUCUGGGGGAGAGUCCAGAUGGACCCCCCAGCGCAGCCCCUGGGGGCCAACAUCCAGGCUGUCCUGGGGUCCCAUGUCUGUUCCCGCUUGCCCCUCUGGAGAGGCUUAUUCCACUGGUGCAUCCCUCGGCUGCCGUCCUGUCUCCCAUCACGUUGACUGUGACAGCGGCCCUGAGCAAACCCUUCUUGUUUCUUCCGGUUCUGCGCAUUCAGGUGUCUCCAGAGGAAGGACGGGAGGCCAGAAGAUCUCCUCACGGCCCCCAUCGUCCCUCCCACCAGCCUCCAACUUCAAAGUAAUCUUAGAGUUUCCGUUAUGAUCCUGAACGGCAGCCUGAUGGCUGGUCUAGCACAGAACUGCCCAGGAGCCCCGUUUUCCAAGCACAGCCUCGCCGUUGCGGGUUUGGAGCUGCGGAGGAGGGAGGGGACGUCUUGCUCCCUUCACCGUGCAGGGACUGUUCAAAUACCUGACGGUGAAGUGGGGCAGCUUCCCCAUCACAGAGGUUUGGGCAAGGAAAAGAGCAGGAAUCUUCUGAUUUCAUUAGACUUUCUUUCCUUUUCCAACAUUGGACAUAAUCUUUAACUAUCAGGGAAAAUGUUACUUUCAACGUGUUUUACCAAAAUCCAGUCUCUCUUUAUGGGUUAUUAACUCCGAAUUAAAAGCCCUAAAUCACAUAGCUGCAUGAUGUCAUCGUUAUAUGCUUUUUAAAUCAGCUGCAUCCUUCCCAGCAUACAAACUGAUUUUCUUGUCCCUGUGUCCUCAUUAAGCAAAACAAAUCAGGGUCCACACGCGGAAUCUCUGCCACAGGACUUCGUGCGCAGCUGUUCUUAAAGGAAGUUCCAGGAGAGGAACAUGUUUGUGUUCUUUAAAAAUUACUGCACCAGAAG